AUUGAACGCUGGCGGCAUGCCUUACACAUGCAAGUCGAACGGCAGCGGACCUUCGGGUGCCGGCGAGUGGCGAACGGGUGAGUAAUAUAUCGGAACGUACCUUUCAGUGGGGGAUAACGUAGCGAAAGUUACGCUAAUACCGCAUAUUCUGUGAGCAGGAAAGCAGGGGAUCGCAAGACCUUGCGCUGAUUGAGCGGCCGAUAUCAGAUUAGCUAGUUGGUGAGGUAAAGGCUCACCAAGGCGACGAUCUGUAGCGGGUCUGAGAGGAUGAUCCGCCACACUGGAACUGAGACACGGUCCAGACUCCUACGGGAGGCAGCAGUGGGGAAUUUUGGACAAUGGGCGCAAGCCUGAUCCAGCCAUGCCGCGUGAGUGAAGAAGGCCUCGGUUGGUAAGUACGUACUUUCGGUCCGGGUACGGAAAGUACGACACGGGUUAAGUACCGUACGUGUGGUAGUGACGGUACCGGAACGUAAGAAGAC
Molecule: ribosomal RNA, 482 nt
Filed under: uncultured bacterium
Lineage: Bacteria
Description: bacterial SSU rRNA
Rfam family: Bacterial small subunit ribosomal RNA
Source: RNAcentral